This 21-nucleotide non-coding RNA is filed under the name Caenorhabditis elegans. The record is from RNAcentral. Lineage: Eukaryota; Metazoa; Nematoda; Chromadorea; Rhabditida; Rhabditidae.
UUUAAUUGCCCUUGUUGUACC